Molecule: long non-coding RNA, 14873 nt
Filed under: Homo sapiens (human)
Lineage: Eukaryota; Metazoa; Chordata; Mammalia; Primates; Hominidae
Description: HSALNT0397510
Source: RNAcentral
GUUGCUCAGGCUGGUUGCAUACUCCUGGUCUCCAGCAUUUCUCCUGCUUCAGCCUCCCAGUGUUGAGAUUAUAGGCAGGAGCCACUGUGCCCUGCCAUAAAGCUUUUAAAUCAGCAUGAAUCCUGUGCCCACCUGAUGUACCAUCUCCCAUCCUUGGCUUUGGGAGAAGAUAGGCCACAGGGACCUUCAUGGUUUGCUGCAAGCUCAAUGAGAAUAGAAAUGCCCAAUGGGGAUUUGCUUGUGAACAGCAGUCCCAGGUCAUCUUCAGAGGAGACCAAGGCCCCAUUGUGGCCAAUGGCCAAGAUCUGAGUUUGAAGCAAAAAGGAAAGACUUCCUAGUGGGCCACGUAAGUGCUCAUUAUAUGUGUGCCAUGGACUAAGGACAAUAAAAAAUGGUAAUACGUGAUUUGUGCAUAAAUAGAGUCAGACAGCCUGGGUCAAAUCCUGGCAGGGUCACUACCAGGGACUAGGACUGAAAUGCUGUUUUACCAAAUUUGUAAAAACAAGCGAAGAGAGCCUGCCUCCCAGGAAGAGAUGAGGUUGGGUGCAGCAUUCAGGCAGGUCAGGCCACAGGUUUCCCUUCUCAGAAAGCUUCACAGCCCAGCACGUCACGUCCCAGGCUCAAGUCUCUCCAGGGCGGCCACAGAGAAGGCUCCUGACACCGGGACUUGGAGAGGUGAUCACAGAGGAGCAUGAAGGAGGUGGUGGCCUGAGGAGGGGAGAGGGGAAACAGAUGUCUUCAGCAGCAGCUGCCUAAAAGGAUGAGGGUCCAGCCUUUUGUGCUCCAUAUUUGCACCCCAUGAUGGCGUCUCCUCCUCAUCUUAGCACCUGCUGCAGCUACCUGGCCUCUUGGGUACAUCAUUCAGCUCGGGAACCAGCAUAGCCCUCUUCCCUCCCCAGCUCCCUCUCCCACACCUGGCACUUCCAGUGAACCUGGUGCUGGGAAGACCUGGGCUGCUUCUGUACUCGCUCUGAGCAGGCUCUGCCCUCCAGUGACCCCAGGAUACACCUGGACUGCUUGCAGAAGCUACGGUCCGGGCCAGGCUUCGCGGAGCCUGCAGACCUGGCUGCUGGUGCCCAACAGCUGCAGUCCUGAGCGGUGCUCAUAUCGCGCAGGGGCCGGUCUGGGUCUAAACAGCCGCUACCGGGUAGGCGGAAUCCCGAAGCUCGAGAGUCCCCUGCUGGGGCUGGGCCGUUGGACCUCGCCCUUUGCCCUCUGCUGCGUUUCUUCGAGCCCUGGCCUCGCGCACCCUUUCUCUCCACGCGUUCCAACGGCGGCUCAAUUGCGUAACAGGGUGUGCAGCGCACAGGCUGCUCUUCACCGGCAACCUCUUCUACAAGCUUCAUACGCGCCCCUCGUCCCCCAUCUGGUCUGGAUCGCCUCGCGGUCCCGGCACAGAGCUCUCCUCGACCUUGCUCGCCCAGGUUUACUGCAGUCCCGCGCCUUUUCGGUUGGACAUCACCGCUAGGAGGCGGUGUCUGAUUCCGCAGGCUCUGGGCUCCUCUCUGGGGUUCUUACCUUGAAUGUGUGCGGGACUCUGGUGUGGAGGUCUCAGGAGCCACUGCUGCCGGCUAGCACUACUAGGGUGUUCAGCUGAAUAUCUUGGAAUGGUAGAGUCCUCCUCCAGGCUGCAAAUGACUCCUUUCUGUUUGGGGUUUGAGCAGGUAGUGAUCUCUACGAAGCUGGGCCACCCUGUCCUCCCCUCCAUACUUGCCUCAGAAAGACUGAGUUGAAGUCCCCAGGAGAGUGCAGGAAAGGAAAAGCUAAGGCAGAGGGAAAAAGUAGCAAAAGAAGGAUAAUUAGAGAAGGGCUCCCCCCUCACCCUCAUAACAGCGGGAGUGUCUGGAAGAUCAACGGUGUCAUCUUGUGGUCACUUCCUUCCAGUACAGUCCUGGACUCCUGAAAGGAAGCCUCUGUUCCAAACACCCAGAAGACACCUUGAGUAAGAAAGCAUCUUCUCUGAGCCCAUUUGCCAAAGUCAGUGACAUCGCCAGCUUAUACAGACCUCUUUGGAGGUCUGCCGUGGGUUCAGCAGGGCUGUCCCGUCCAGUCUUAUCUGCACUCUGCUACUGGAGAGGUGGGCGAAGGAAGAUGUUGAUGGAGGCCAUUCACCCAGAUCUCCAGCCUCACUAAAGUCAGACAAGACACAGGGAGAAAAAGCUUCCAGACACUCUCAAGAAGGAACUUUCCAAACACAUCUAACAGCUGUGAGCUCUGUAACUCCAAAUUCCAGUACUCCUGCUGCUGCCACUGCCGCUAUUGUUGGGUGGAGGAGAGCUACCUCUGCCCCCUAGGUUUCCUGUAUAGUCACUGCUGAAGACCUAGGCUUGGAGAAGAGAGGUGAGCACCAGUGGAGCCCCAAGGCGUUGGAGGAUAAAACUGAGGCCCCUUCAGACAGCAGGGCCACUCAGCCUGCCUGUUCUUUCUCCCUUUCUGCUGAGAAAAUUUCAGACUUCCUGACUGUGGCCACUUUCAUCAUGUGGAUCCUGGCUCCUGCCUCAUUAGUAGACACUGAUUCAGCUGACCUGUUUGCCAGACCCUCCAAUCCUGACUGCCCCUGUACUUACCCCCCCCCAUCAGAUAUUGAUCAUGAAACGAGAAGCCCUACUUAUAAUUCUCCUUUCACCAUUCUUGCUGAAUCUCCUUCUCCCUUUAGGAUUAAUAAUAAUUGUUAGUCCAAGCUGCACCAUUUUGCAAGUCCCUGCCAUUUCACAGACCCUGGUCAGAAUGAAAGAUUCCAUGGGGCCCUGGGCUGUGAGAAACAUCCUGCCCAGCCACCUGACUUCCUUAUCACAUCCUGCUGGGCAAAGGCCCAAGGAACAUCUUUAUCAACAUCCUCCUGGGCAGCAAGCCAUACGGGCCCAGACCCCUCCUGCCCAGACCUGUAAUUACCCCAGCCUGUAAGCAGCAGUGAGCUCUGGCACCAAGCUGGUCCCCUCUCUGCAAGUUGUACUGGCAAUAAACCUGUGUUGCUGUAGAGCCACCAACUCUCUCUCUCUCCCCUUCCCUUCAAAACCUAACAAUAAUAAUGAUAGAAUAACAAUAAGGCAAACCACCCAAUUAAAAAAACUGGACAAAACAUUUGAGCAAUAAUCCCUUUCCAAAAGUUGAUUCAGAAAUGUUCAACAGGCCCACCAAAAAUGCUCAAUAUUAUUAAUCAUCAGGGAAGUUUAAAUGAAAACCACACUGAGAUGCCAUUGCACAUCCACCAGAAUGCCUGUAGGGAUGUAAAGCGCUUGGAACACUUCUCACUUGCAGUAAUAAUAUAAAAUGGUACAAUCACAUUGAGAAAAUGUCAUAAAACUUAUUAUAAAAGUAAACAUACACAUUCUUACUCAGCACUUCCAUUCUGAAUUAUUUCCUUGAGAGAAAUGAAAACAUGGAAGAUUUCUCAUUGCAAUGAUAAUAUGAAAUGGUACAAUCACAUUGAAAGAAUGUCAUAAAACUUACUAUAAAACUAAAUAUAUACUUAUUCUUACUCAGUGCUUCCAUUCUGAAUUAUUUCCUUGAGAGAAAUGAAAACAUAUGUACACAAAAAGGCUUGCAUGACACAAAAAGCCUUGCAUAGUAGGCAAAAUUCAUAAAAGCCUUAUUCAUAAUAAGCAUAAUAUGGAAAUAUCCCUGAUACCAAUCCACAUGAGAAUAGAAAAAGAAAUUAUGAAGUAUUCAUAUUACUCAGCUAUCAAAGAAAAUAACCCCUGAUGACAGACAACAAAAGUACAAAAGCACAGCAUUCUGCUAAGUGAAAAGAAUCCUUGCACAGGAAUGCAUACUGCAUGUCCCUAUUUAUAUGAAAAGCUAGGACAGCCAAAACUAACCUAUCUUGGGACAAUCCUUGAAGAAUUGGAGAGGAUUGACUGAACCUGGAGGUACAACUGGAUCACAGCAGUGAGCAAAUCAGGGCGUUGGGUCGAAAUCAAAAUACAGAGAUAAAUCUCUAUAAAUAUAAACUGUUUUAUUUGGGAAGUGAAAAUUGCAAUUCAGGGCACACAACUGGGCAGCCUUUUAGAAGAACAAAUAGAAAGAGGUUUCGUUAAAAGAGCAAAGACAAUUUAUUUUGCAAAGACAACUCAUUGGCACUAGUAAAGUUUUGGGGAGCUGGCAAGUUCUGAUUGGUAAGUGAUAGCAGUGGGUAAAAGUAAUCAUAGAGUCCGGCAGGUUGUUUCAGAAGCUACUACAUAAAACCGUUUUUGGGUUACAGCAGGCAAUUUCAGCAGCUAGGCUUGCAAAGAAUUACAUUCUUGGCGUGCCCUGAGUGUGUUUUCUCCUCCUGGCCUUCCAAUUCUGUUUUAGUUGGGUAUAACAAGAAUGGCUCAAUUUAUAUAAUCAACUUUCACACUUGCCAGCCAUAGGAAGCCAGGGCAUCCUACCCAUAAGUGACUCUCUCUCCAAGGGCUGAGCUGUUCUCUUCCUGUGCCGACAAACUGCUCCAGGGAGAGGGGAUCUGGCUGAUCCAACAUGGGUCAAAGUCCCACAGUCCAGAUAUAUGUGUCUCAGAAGGUGGGGGGUUCUCAUGGUCCAUGGACUUUCCUUCAGAUAAUGUUGGAAUUGCUCCGAGAAGGGCUAGUGAUUUUUACCCCUAUGUUCACCAUGCCUUUUCUGCACACAAGAGUGCUUGUGUCUUUGCUCUCUUCUUGCACUGCUCCUCCCGGCUGACCAUCUUCCCAUUCUCUGCCGUGCCCCUACCUUAACAUUGUUUUCUAAAUGAACCUUUUUCAUGUUUAAAAACUGUUAUAACAGUUAGAAAGAAAAUCUGGCCUUCUCUGCCAUUAUUAUGGCCAAUUGCAUCUACGUAGCAAAAUCUGUUUAUAAAACAAUGAUUUUAGAAUGAUAUUCUUUCUACCUUUGCUUCGUUUUUUUCAAAUCAAGUUUUGGAGGUAAAAUUCAGCAAUUUCAGCGGCUGCUGAGAAAAAAAUUCAGAGUCAGGACCUGCCAAUGAAGAGGGUCCCCAAAAAAUACUCAGGUUUUCAUGUAAAACGUCUGAAAGCCAGUAUCCCAGAAAUAAGGAUAACAGGAGAGAGCCAGCCUUCAAAAAGAGUGAAGCAUGGCUCUGACUUACAUUAAUCUCAGAAUAAAGUGUGCUUUCCCAUCCUAGCUGCCUUCUACAUCCAAAGGUAAAUCCCUUCAGAGGAUUUAUAGUAGCAUCAAUAAACAUGAAAUAAAUCUACAAAAGACAUGCAAAUCGACAGGAGAAUUCCAGAGCUAAAUGUGAAAAGUUAAGCAAUAAACCUCAUAGUAGGCAUCACUGAAAAUUUCCAUGAUAUUGGAAGUGAUGCUGGGCAGGCAAGCCCAAAUUGGGGCUUAGCUUGGGAGGGUUCUUUGCUUCACCCAGCAAAGGAUUCAAGGGUGAGCUGGUGGUGGAAGAAGACAGCUCUAUUGAAGAGGCAGUGUUACAGCUCUGUGACUGCUCCUGCAGAGCACGGUUACUCUAUCGGCAGGGCGCAGAGAGCAGCAGCUCAGGGCAGUUCUGCAGUCAUAUUUACAUCUACUUUUAAUUGCAUGCAGAUUAAGGGGUGGUUUAUGCUGAAAUUUCUAGGAAAAGGGUAGUAACUUCUGGGUCAUUGGGUCAUUGCCAUGGAAAGGAGCAGUAAUUCCUGCAUGUUGCCAUGACAAAUGUAAACUGACAUAGCACACUGGUGGGUGUGUCUGAUGGAAAGCUGCUUCCACCCUGACCCUGUUUUAGCUAGUCCUCAAUUUGCUCCAGUGUCCAAGCCCCGGCUCUGGAGUCGAGUCCUGCGUCCUACCUCAGAAGUAGUCGAAAACAUACACAUGAAUGUUCACAGCAGCAUUAUUUCUUUCUUUUUUUUUUUUAAAGAGAGAUGGGGGUCUCACUAUGUUGGCCAGGUUGGUCUUGAACUCUUGGUCUCAAGCAAUCCUCCCUCCUCAGUCUCCCAAACUGCUAGGAUUACAGGCAUGAGCCACUACACCUAGCCACAGUAGCAUUAUUAUUUCUAAUAGCCAAACAUCCAUCAAUAAUAGAAUGGGUAAAUUAUAUUUGUUCAAUGGAACAUCACACAGCAAUAUAAAAGAAUAAAGUGCUGCUAAAAGCAACAACAUGGAUGAAUUUUAUGAAGUGUUGAAUGAAAAGACACAGCCACAAACAGGACACAUGGUAGGGUUCCAUUUAUAUAAAGUUUUUAAAUAGGCAAAACUAAUCUAUAAUGUUAAAAAUUUGGGAGGGGCAUAGUGACUAGGAAUGAGCAUGAGGUUGAUUCUGAGGUGCCUGUGUUUUGCUUCUUGAUCUAGAUUACAUAGGUUUGUUCAUUCUGCAAAAAUGUAUUGAGGAAUAGACAGAUGAUUUGUACACUUCUGUGUAUGAAUGUUAUAUUGUAAAGUUUCUUGAAGAAUACCUGUUUACAAGAGUUAGAGAACAUGGAAGCUCUUUCUCUGAGAUAAAACAUCUAAAAAGACAAAAAUUAGCCGGGCGUGGUGGUGGGUGCCUGUAAUCCCAGCUACUCGGGAGGCUGAGGCAGGAGAAUGUCUUGAACCCGGGAGACAGAGGUUCUAGUGAACCAAGAUCACACCACUGCACUCCAGCCUGGAUGACAGAGGAAGACUCUGAGACUCCGUCACAAAAAAGAAAAAACAAACAAACAAACAAACAAAAAAGCCCUAAGUCAUAUCAUGCCAGUCUCAGCAGUUUGAAACCCUCCAUGGUUCCCAUCUCUCAGUAAAAGGCAACGUUCUUAUGACAUCCUUCAAGGCCCCAUGUAGUCUUUUGGUCCCUCUCCAUCUCUGUCCUCCUGUCAUCCACGUCUCCCACGUGCUGAUUGGGUCUGGUAGGGUGACUGGGUGGCAAAGACCUCACAGAGGUGCCUUUCUGCUCAGGUGGCAAACAGGAGAGUCUAUCUGGGCCCUGCAGGAUGGAUCCUUCCUGAGUCACUGAAUAUAUUGGAGGUGCAGACAGCGCCAGAGAAAGGCAUUGAGCCUGCCAGAUCAGACACCGCCUCUUAGGGUCGACGGAACACCCAGGAGCAAAGACCAGAAAUUGUGGGAGAAAGGCCUGGAAGGGGGCCGGGGAGAGGCACAGAGACAGCGAGGUGAUGCAGGCUUGGUGGGAGCGGGUAUGGUAGGCAAUGGGGGACAGAGGGGCAGGGCACAGACAAAGCUUGCUGAAGAUAUGAAGAGCAAUUGUGAGCCGGCGAAUCCUUGGAGUAGAGGAGAAAAUUGAGGUCUCCUGUUCAGCCCGAUGCAGGCAGCCGCCACAGAGGACACCAGAUCAUGCCAACACCCCCACAACUCCUGCCCGCCUGCAGGCAGCUCUGGGCUCAGGACACCGCCUGCAAGAACCUUUAUAGCGCAGCUCUCCAAACCUUGGAGGCGAGGACAUUCUAUGUGCCCGCCCUGGAAAGGCCUGAACCUAUAACAUCUGGGCUGUGAUGGUUUCUGAGGUGGACACCAGGACCAACACUUGUCAGCAUGGCACAAUCAGGCAUUUCUCUUCUAAGUAGGAUGUGCAGCCAAAAACUCAGCUGUCUGUGAGCUGUCUUCUCCCAGGAACGAGGACAUAAGAUGUACAUCAGGUUUUGAUAUUAGAGUAAUACUGGCCUUAUAGAAUGAGUUACGAAAAGUUGCCCCUUUCUCCACUUUCUGAAAGAGUUUGUGUAACACAGGUCUGAACUGCACAGAUCCACUUACAUGUGGAUUUUCUUCCACUGCGGCCUCUCCUGAGACAGCAAGACCAACCCCUCCUUUUCAUCCUCCUCCUCCUCCUCAGCCUACUCAACAUGAAAAUGACAAGGAUGAAACCUUUAUGAUGAUCCACUCAUCCAUUUUCUUUUCUCUAGCUUAUUGUGAACAUCUUAGGCUAGUGUGUCGACUUCUGACUUGGCUCAUCUGAACCCAAGUCCUUGGACACAUUCACAAACACCCCAGGGUCUUGGGCUUCCAGUUUGUGCUAGAAGGACAAAGGGCAGGUGAAGCUUGUUUGCCGUAACUAGAAGGAGCAGAAACUGCUCCCAGCAGAACAAGAUCAAAUCAUGGGGAACAGUGGUCACCUGCCAUUUCUAGAGGAAGCUUUUGCUUUUGGUCACUGAGGACCCUAAGUCUUACAUGAGAAGAAAACAAAUAGGGUGAUGCUGCAUGCUUCUGUCCCCAAAGAAUCCCUGUGCAGGUGCCGAGGGUGCCCCAAAGACGAGGCUGUGCUUGCCGUGCCCACCACAGAAGCACAUUUGACCUGAUCAAAAGCAGGUGGAAAAGGUCCUGAAGCACAGAUAUUUUCUCAGUGAUGUUGUUUUCUCCAAAAUGAAAGAGGGAAGGUACCCUGGCUUAGGCCCCUGGUGUUCUGAUUGAAGGUGAGAAUGGAAGUAUCUUCUUCAACAUGUUCUCCCAUCUGACUGCAACAAGUGUGCUCCAGCCACCAGUGUCCCAGUUGCUCUGAAUGAUGGUGAGAAGGGUACCCAAACACUUGAAUGGUACUGUACCCUCUACUUGCCAUCUGAAUCCUCACUUGUGGAACCCAGGCACUCUGGCUGUAUUCGCGAGUAAGCAUAGGUGUGGGACUGUGUCCUGCCAUUGCACCAUCUUUAAUCUGGACUUGUGGACCUCAGGCUCUCUGACUAUUCAUGGACAGAAGUUUCUGCAGGCACAGGUGGGGUGCUGUUUCCUCCCAUUGUACACCUGAAUUCAGGACUUGUGGACCCCAGGUGUUCUGGCUGUGUUCAUGAACAGAAGUGUCCCCCCCAAACAAACCCAUAUAUGGUGCCAUCUCCUCCCAUUACAGGUAUGGUGCCAUCUCCUCCCAUUGCAGGCAUUGCACUGCCUAUACUCUGGACUUAUGGCCCUCACAUGCUCUGAUUGUAUUCAUAAACAGUAGUUUCUUCAGUCACAGAUAUGGCACCAGCCCCUCCAACAGAAACAGAUGUGCUCAAGCUGAGUGGUCCAAAGGCGUUUGACAGAAGUCAUGAACAGAAGUAUCUUGGGGCACAUGUUUCUUCUCUGUUGUGCAGGCUUCUCCAGCAGUAACAGGUUUGCCCAGGCCAUAUGGGCCCCAAGCGCUCUGACCAGACACAAGAAGAGAAGACUUGCAGUCACAGGUAGUGUGUUGUCCCCUGCUACUGCAACAUAGGUGCUUGGAAAGGUGCAACAGGGUGCUCUGCUUGUGGUGGAAACAUAAAGGCCUCCAAGCAUAGAUGUGCUGCUUUCUCCUUCCCUUUGAGGGAUGCAGAUGUGCUCUGGCCAGCUGCAUUCCAGGUGGUCUGUCUGCAAGACAGAAGUGUCCCAAGCACUGGUAUGUGCGGGCUCCUCCAACCACAACAGACGUGCUUUGGCCAGAUGGUUUCCAGGUGUUAUGAACACAAGAAGGAACAGAGGUGCCUUCUGGAACAUGUUUCUUCUCAGUGAUGUUCUAAGAGGUGUGCUUUGGCAGGACAGGCCCCAGCUGCUCUGACUGUAGGCAGGGAGGAAAGUGUUUCCCAGGAGUUUUUGCUUUCAGUAGUACUGCCCUCUCCAACUGUACCAGAGGUGCUGUAGGCUUGCAGGAACCCCGGUGCUCAUGUGUAAGCCUCCCCAACAUAAACUAAGGUGCUGCAUGCCCCUCUAGGCCCUGUUCUAAAGCUGAGUGCUUCAGAUGUGGAGCUGGGUCUGGGGCAGACACACUGGUCCUAGAGCUGUCAUUAUCCAAAGAAGCCCCAGAGUCCAUGAAUGGAAAUGGGUCGAGAGAGGGGUUAGCAAAAGGUGAACUGUGCCUGAUGCUGAGCAUCCAGUGAUGGCUCCAGAGCUAGAAGUAGUGGCUGUGCAAAUGGGAAAAGGACCCGAGGUGCCACCCAAGGCUGAGUGGGUGCUAGCAGAGAUAUCAAAGAUGGAUAUGGAGGUAACACGUACGCAAAAUCUGAUGGCAUUAUGCUCCCAUUGGGUGUCUGGGCUGCAGUAAAGGCUCAGUUUAGAGCUUGUAUUGAGAUUUUACGUUUCUCAAAGGGUAAAUGCUAUCAAAUACAUUGGGGGAUCCUGCCAGGGGGAGGCUAGAAAGAGGACAUGGUAACCAUAUUGAUUUCAUCAGAGUUAAAGGCAGACUUGGCUGCCCAGUUGGUCAAGGUCCUAGCUACUAGAAAACAGACAAUUGCUGAAGUAGUGAUAAGUAUGAUGGUGCAGACAGGUAUCCUAGAAGACUGACUCUUUGCUGCUGCCCUUUAGGAGCUCCAAAUGUGACUGAGAGGUGGCUUCUGGGCUAAAGGAAAGGUUCAAAGUGGGGUAGGGCUGUUUACCAUAAACAUAGGUGGGUUAGUGGGGACUGCCUUUUGCAGGGGGCUGUCCACUCCACACUGCAAUGAGCCAGUCAAAUGGGAGUUCCAAGACCAGAGGAAACCUAGCCCAGAGCUUGAGUCUUCCAGGCUAACCCUGGGUCCUGGGGGGACCAGGAGAUGAGACCCAGGGAAUAGUAGUGUCCAUGUCGGUCAUCUCAAAGGUUCAAAGCAGGCUGGGAGGUCAAGUCUGCAGAUGGGCUGACUGGGCAGUGGAAGUGAUAAGGUUGGCCAGUUAAUGAUGGGUUGAUAUAUUCAUCUGUUUUCACACUGCUAUGAAGAACUAUGUGGGGCUGGGUAAUUUAUAAACAAAAGAGGUUUAAUUAACUCACAGUUCCACAUGGCUGGGAGGCCACAGGAAACUUACAAUCAUGGCAGAAGGCAAAGGGGAAGCAAGGCAUGUCGUACUUGGUGGCAGGAGAGAGUGCAGAGGAAACUGCCACUUAUAAACCGUCAGAUCUCAUGAGAAUUCCCUCACUAUCAUGAGAACAGCAUGGGGGAGACCACCCCUACAAUCCAGUCACCUCCCACCAAGUCCCUCCCUCCACACAUGGGAAUUACAAUUCAGAUUACAAUUCAAAAUGAGAUUUGGGUGGGGACAUAGAGCCAAACCAUAUCAGUUAGUCAGUGAAGACUGAGGUAUCUGUAGAAGUGAGGGAGGAGCACAGUGGUCUGGAUGAACCAGUGGGGUGAUAGUCAGGGGACUGGCAUUCAGUGAGGCUGGGGGAGAAGCUUCCUAAAAGCAUUGCCCUUGAAAAGCAGGGCAUACCUAUCUGAUACUGAGGAUGUAGAAUGCAGUUUGGAGAUGCUUCCUAGCUACCUAAUCUUCCAAGGCAAACCAUGCACUCUUCAUCCUGAUAUUUGUGAUGCCUCCCUGGGCUACAUGACAGAGGGUGCACUGCAAAGGAUGUGAAGGAAAGUCACCACAGGGCAAAGGUGGAAACCCAGGGGCCUUUCCCCAGUGAGACUUUCUGGCUGUUCCUUUGGAACUUCCACCUGCUAGUUGCAGAUGUUUGCCACUGGAUGGGGCCCCAUGCUACGUGGGAACUGUUCAGGACUGUGGGUACUUAGUUCCAGCAGAGCUGGCUCCACCAGGGCACCAGGACUGCAGGCUUCUCAACUCCUGGCCUGGAGAGGCAGCUUCAGCAACCAGUGCCUGGGAAUCCACUAGCCCUUUCUCUGUGAGUCACGUGAGGGCAGAAUCUGCUCAAAGUCAGAGGGCUGGAGCAACCUGGAUUGUGCCAGAGUGAGGGCCCAGCUCACUGGAGGUCAGAGUAAGAGAGUCAAGGAUGGGAAGAAACAGGGUUUUGCUCAGUCUUGCAGAUACUGAGGCACUCAGGAGGCUCAGGAUGGCAGCAACAGGGCAUGUGCUAAACUUACCCUAGCCUCUUCCUUUUAGGCAGCCACCACAGAGGACAUCUGUUUGCCUCUGUACCCUACCCCAUCUCCAUGCUGGUAGAUAUAGUCUGGGGAUACCUUUAAAACAAACAAACAAACAAACAAAACAGGAUCUGUCUAUCACCUGUCCAAAUCCUGAAGCAAAAUGAGCCUUCUUUAUGGCCACCUUGGAAAGGCCUGAGUCCCCAGCAUCACCUGGGAUACAAAGUGUUCUGAGGUGGGGGCAGAGUGCCCUCCUGCCCAGAUGCCACACUCCACAAUAUCUCUUCCUGGCAGACAGGUUUCUCUUAACUUCCUUUGGCAAAUUUGGUUUCACUUCCUUUUGCAACUUUAGAACCUUUCUCAGGUCAGUCAUAAGGUAGUGGAGAAGCCAGGAUUUGAACCCAUUCUGUCUGAUUCCAGAGCUCAUGCAUUAACCACCUGACUGUGGUGCCUCCCCAUCAUAUGUGCAUCAAGUAUGAUCAUUUUUGUAGUUCUCAGAGUACUUAGCACCAUGCACAUCUGUAAUAAGUACAGCCACUGCCUACUGGGAGGUCUAAAGGUUCAACUCAUAAGGGACCCACAGGCCACACUGGGCUCCAGUCUCCUUAAAAGAUGUGGGACGGAGAUCAACAAUUGUCAGCAGAACCCCAUCAGGCAUUUGUCUUCUCACUGAGCCUUGCAGCAAACCACACAGCUGUCUAUAACCUAUCUGUUCCCAGAUUCAAGAACACAAGCUGCUCAUCAGUUGGGUGCAGGAUCCACUCUAGUACAAAAGCUGUGUGUCUCAAGGCAUAAUUCCUUAUGAUUACUUCAUAGCUCUGCUUUUGUCUUGAGACAAAAGAAAUUUCCUUCAAUUCCUACUUUUGCUGAGAUAUUGUUUUUUGAAAAGCAAUUAAAUCUUGUCAAUCACUUUUCCCACCUCUUUGAGAUACUUACAUGGCUUUUCUUCUUUAUUCUCUUAGUGUGGUAAAUUACAUUGAUUUAUUUUAAAUAUGAAACCAGCCUUGAAUUCCAGGAACAAACUCCAUUUGGACAUGCUAGAACAACCUUUUAUAUUUGUUUAGAUUUGAUUUCCUGAAGUGGUGUUAAAAGGUUUUCAUAUCUAUGUCUGUGAGGGAUAUUAAUCUGUACAUUUUUUUAUUACUAUUUUCUGGUGUUAUGGUAAUGCUAGUCUCAUAGAAUGAAUUAGGAAAAGUUGCCUCCUUCUGUAUUUUCUGAGAGUUUGUGUGGCACUGGUAAAAUAUUUUCUGUAUAUGUUUGACAUAAUUCACCAGGAAAAUUAUUUGUACCUACAAGUUCCCUCCUGGAAAGAUGUUGAUAAUCACUUAUUAUCCUUUCAUUGUCUGCCAGAUCUGUGGCAUUGCUUUUUUCUCUGGUAUUAGUAAUUUAAAUUUUCCCUUAUUUCUUGAUCAAUUUUGGCAGAGAUUUAUCAAUUUUAUUAAUCUCUUUUAAAAAUCUGUAUUGAGCUUUGUUAAUUUUCUCUAUUACAUACUUUUUAUUUCUACUCUUACGAUUGCUAUUUCUUUAUUUCUCCUUUGGAUUUAGCCCAUUUUUCUAUUUGUCUAAUUUUAGGAUUUAAAAUUCAAUCAUUAUUUUUAGAUAUUUUUAUUUUUAAAUAUAAACAUGAAAGUUGCAAUAUUACCUUGGGCACUGUUUUGACUGCAUUCCACAAGUUUUUAUUUGUCAUGUUUUAAUCACCAUUCAGUUCAAAAUACUUUCUAAUGCUCCUUGUUAUUUCUUCUUUGACCCAUUGGUUAUAUAAAAGUACGUUUUGCUUUAUUUCUAAAUAUGUGAAGACUUUCUAGAUAUCUCAGUUAUUUAUUACUAAUUUAAUUUUAUUGUAGCCAGAGAAAAUACACUGUAUGUGUUCAAUCUUUGGAAAUUUCUUGAGACUUAUUUUUUGACCCAGUAUGUUUGCCCUCAUGAACAUUCCAUAUUCACUAGAAAAAGAAUGUGUGUUCAAAUAAUGUUGGAUAUAGUGUUAUGCAAAUGCCACUAAAUCAAGAUAAAUCUUUUGCACUCUUGUUUUUUGCCUGCUUGUUCUAACAAUAAGUGAGAAAGAAGUGUUAAUAUCUCCAAUUGUGAUUGUAAUUUGACUGUUAUCCUUUGGUUUGGUCAGUUUUUGCCUGUUGAAAUUCUGCUAUUAAAACAUAAACAUUUAAGAUAUUUAUAUCUUCCCAAGAGAGAUGCUAAAGAAAAGUGUAAAAAACCAAAGCCAUUCUUAUGUACAUCAGAAUAUAUGGACAAAAACUUUCACAGCAACAUCAUUAUCGCAAGUAACUGAAAGCAAUACAAAGGCACAUCAACAAAAGAUUGGACAGAUAAAUUGUUCCUUCAAUGGCAAUGAAAAUGGAUGUUACAGAGAUACAUGGAUACAUGGAACACCCUGAGUGAAUCUUACAUUUAUUUUGCAGAAGAUAUCAAACCAAACAGAGCACAUAUUAUUCCAUUCAUGUAAAGGUCAGUAACAGCCACAUAUAAGCUAUAUUUUGGAGAUUCAUACACAAUAGAAAAAACUAUUUAAAAAGUCAGAUAAUACUGAUUUUAAAAAUCGGGAUGUUGAAUUCAUCUGGGUGUUGAGGGAGGAGCACAUUGUGACCCAGACAGAGCACUCAGGACUCUGAGCACACUAAUACUCUGUAUUGCCUUCAGUGGUAGUUACAUCAGUAUCAACUUAAGAAAAAUUUAUUAAAAUCUACAUAAAUAAUAAAUAAUUUUCUAUAUGUAUGUUAUAUUUCCCAAUGCUAUGAAAUGAAUUGUGUCUCCCCAAAAUGUAUGUGUUGAAGUCCUAGCCCCCAGCACCUCAGAAUGUGACCGCAUUUGGAGAUGGAACCCUUUUUUUUUAUUUUUGAGACACAGUUGCCCAGACUAGAGUGUAGUGGCGUGAUCUCGGCUCACUGACCUCUGCCUCCUGGCUCAAACAAUUCUCAUGCCUCAGCCUCCUGAGGAGCUGGGAUUACAGGUGUGUGCCACCGCAUAUGGCUAAUUUUUGUAUUUUUAGUAGAAAUAGUAGACGCCAUGCAUAAAUACCAAUUCUCUCCAAAUUGAUCUAUUUCUCAAUCUACACAUAUUCUACUGGUGAUCUCAUCCAAGGUUGUGGCUGCAAGUACACCACUACAAGCCAAAAAAUUAUGUGUAUAUCUCCAUCUCAGGCUUGUCUUCCAAACUCCAUGGUCAUAUAUCUAAUAUUGUAUUUCUUCUUGUCUUCUCUUUGUAUUUGUGUAGAACAAAAGAAAAAAAAUUUUAAAGUAAAAG